RNAcentral lists this ribosomal RNA (491 nucleotides) under uncultured bacterium. RNAcentral's name for it is "partial 16S ribosomal RNA". It matches the Rfam family "Bacterial small subunit ribosomal RNA", at positions 28 to 507 of the family's 1533-position model. The record is from RNAcentral.
GAUGAACGCUAGCGAUAGGCUUAACACAUGCAAGUCGAGGGGUAACGUGUUGGAAGCUUGCUUCCGAUGACGACGACCGGCGGAUGGGUGCGUAACGCGUAUGCAACUUGCCUCACAGUGGAGAAUAACCCGGAGAAAUCCGGACUAAUACUCCAUACACUCUUAAGUACGCCUGUACAUGAGAGGAAAGAUUUAUCGCUGUGAGAUAGGCAUGCGUCCUAUUAGGUAGUUGGUGAGGUAACGGCUCACCAAGCCGACGAUAGGUAGGGGUGCUGAGAGGCAGAGCCCCCACAUGGGGACUGAGACACGGCCCAAACUACUACGGGAGGCAGCAGUGAGGAAUAUUGGUCAAUGGAGGAAACUAUGAACCAGCCAAGUCGCGUGAAGGAAGAAUGUCCUAAGGAUUGUAAACUUCUUUAGCGAGCGAGUAAGGACUUCCACGUGAUGGGAGUUUGAAAGUAGCUCGAGAAUAAGUAUCGGCUAACUCCGUG